Molecule: ribosomal RNA, 445 nt
Filed under: uncultured bacterium
Lineage: Bacteria
Description: partial 16S ribosomal RNA
Rfam family: Bacterial small subunit ribosomal RNA
Source: RNAcentral
GUGAGGAAUAUUGCGCAAUGGAGGCAACUCUGACGCAGCCAUGCCGCGUGCAGGAAGAAGGCGCUACGCGUUGUAAACUGCUUUUAACCGGGAAGAAACCCCAGGACGUGUCCUGGGUUGACGGUACCGGAGGAAUAAGCACCGGCUAACUUCGUGCCAGCAGCCGCGGUAAUACGAAGGGUGCAAGCGUUAUCCGGAUUCAUUGGGUUUAAAGGGUGCGUAGGCGGAGCGUUAAGUCAGUGGUGAAAUCCUGCAGAUUAACUGUAGACUUGCCAUUGAUACUGGCGCUCUUGAGUGCGCUUGAAGUGGGCGGAAUGUGCCGUGUAGCGGUGAAAUGCUUAGAUAUGGCACAGAACACCAAUUGCGAAGGCAGCUCACUAAGGCGAUACUGACGCUGAGGCACGAAAGCGUGGGGAUCGAACAGGAUUAGAUACCCGGGUAGUCC